UAGGGAAUAUUGGACAAUGGGCGCAAGCCUGAUCCAGCCAUGCCGCGUGAGUGAUGAAGGCCCUAGGGUUGUAAAGCUCUUUCACCGGUGAAGAUAAUGACGGUAACCGGAGAAGAAGCCCCGGCUAACUUCGUG
Molecule: ribosomal RNA, 135 nt
Filed under: uncultured Alphaproteobacteria bacterium
Lineage: Bacteria; Pseudomonadati; Pseudomonadota; Alphaproteobacteria
Description: partial 16S ribosomal RNA
Rfam family: Bacterial small subunit ribosomal RNA
Source: RNAcentral